Molecule: transfer RNA, 71 nt
Filed under: Marmota monax (woodchuck)
Lineage: Eukaryota; Metazoa; Chordata; Mammalia; Rodentia; Sciuridae
Description: tRNA.Ala
Rfam family: tRNA
About the family: Transfer RNA (tRNA) molecules are approximately 80 nucleotides in length. Their secondary structure includes four short double-helical elements and three loops (D, anti-codon, and T loops).
Source: RNAcentral
GGGGCUGUAGCUCAGCUGCAAAGCACUCAUCUAGCACAUGUGAGGCUCUGGGUUCAAUCCUCAGCACCACA